Molecule: small nucleolar RNA, 138 nt
Organism: Antechinus flavipes (yellow-footed antechinus)
Lineage: Eukaryota; Metazoa; Chordata; Mammalia; Dasyuromorphia; Dasyuridae
Product: small nucleolar RNA SNORA42/SNORA80 family
Exons: 1
Source: RefSeq, a predicted model, not a curated record
GCAUGGUUUUUGAAUUUGUGGUAGGUCCCUUCUCCAUGGGCCUCUCAUAGUGAAUUCCAUGCCAGAGAAAUCAACCACCCCGAACCAUUGCCAGACCUAUACCUGUAAGUCAUGAGCACUGAUGUGGGUGGCACAGCA